CGGUGGAGCAUGUGGUUUAAUUCGAAGCAACGCGAAGAACCUUACCAGGUCUUGACAUCCCCUGACAACCCGAGAGAUCGGGCGUUCCCCUUCGGGGGACAGGGUGACAGGUGGUGCAUGGUUGUCGUCAGCUCGUGUCGUGAGAUGUUGGGUUAAGUCCCGCAACGAGCGCAACCCUCGACCUUAGUUGCCAGCAUUCAGUUGGGCACUCUGAGGUGACUGCCGGCUAAAAGUCGGAGGAAGGUGGGGAUGACGUCAAAUCAUCAUGCCCCUUAUGACCUGGGCUACACACGUGCUACAAUGGGCGGUACAAAGGGUCGCGAACCCGCGAGGGGGAGCCAAUCCCAAAAAGCCGCUCUCAGUUCGGAUUGCAGGCUGCAACUCGCCUGCAUGAAGCCGGAAUCGCUAGUAAUCGCGGAUCAGCAUGCCGCGGUGAAUACGUUCCCGGGCCUU
This 453-nucleotide ribosomal RNA is filed under the name uncultured Anoxybacillus sp. RNAcentral's name for it is "bacterial SSU rRNA". It matches the Rfam family "Bacterial small subunit ribosomal RNA", at positions 930 to 1382 of the family's 1533-position model. Lineage: Bacteria; Bacillati; Bacillota; Bacilli; Caryophanales; Anoxybacillaceae. The record is from RNAcentral.